GUGGAUAUAGCUCAGUUGGUUAGAGCACCAGAUUGUGGCUCUGGGGGCCGUGGGUUCAAGUCCCAUUAUCCACCCCA
Molecule: transfer RNA, 77 nt
Filed under: Selenomonadales bacterium
Lineage: Bacteria; Bacillati; Bacillota; Negativicutes; Selenomonadales
Description: tRNA-His
Rfam family: tRNA
About the family: Transfer RNA (tRNA) molecules are approximately 80 nucleotides in length. Their secondary structure includes four short double-helical elements and three loops (D, anti-codon, and T loops).
Source: RNAcentral